AACGACUCUCGGCAACGGAUAUCUCGGCUCUCGCAUCGAUGAAGAACGUAGCGAAAUGCGAUACUUGGUGUGAAUUGCAGAAUCCCGUGAACCAUCGAGUCUUUGAACGCAAGUUGCGCCCGAAGCCAACAGGUCGAGGGCACGUCUGCCUGGGCGUCACACG
This 163-nucleotide ribosomal RNA is filed under the name Ficus aspera. RNAcentral's name for it is "5.8S ribosomal RNA". It matches the Rfam family "5.8S ribosomal RNA". From Rfam's summary of the family: 5.8S ribosomal RNA (5.8S rRNA) is a component of the large subunit of the eukaryotic ribosome. It is transcribed by RNA polymerase I as part of the 45S precursor that also contains 18S and 28S rRNA. Functionally, it is thought that 5.8S rRNA may be involved in ribosome translocation. Lineage: Eukaryota; Viridiplantae; Streptophyta; Magnoliopsida; Rosales; Moraceae. The record is from RNAcentral.